This 256-nucleotide ribosomal RNA is filed under the name uncultured bacterium. RNAcentral describes it as "partial small subunit ribosomal RNA". It matches the Rfam family "Bacterial small subunit ribosomal RNA", at positions 26 to 286 of the family's 1533-position model. The record is from RNAcentral.
AGGACGAACGCUGGCGGCGUGCUUAACACAUGCAAGUCGAACGGAAAGGCCCUUCGGGGUACUCGAGUGGCGAACGGGUGAGUAACACGUGGGCAACCUGCCCCUAGCUCUGGGAUAACUCCGGGAAACCGGUGCUAAUACCGGAUACACACUUUUUGAGGCAUCUCUCGAAGUGGAAAGUUUUUCGGCUAGGGAUGGGCCCGCGGCCUAUCAGCUUGUUGGUGGGGUAAUGGCCUACCAAGGCGACGACGGGUAG